UUGCGACCUCAAAUCAAGCGAGACUACCCGCUGAACUUAAGCAUAUCAUAAACGCGGAGAGAAAAAAAAGGGAUCAUUUAACGCAAAAAUCCCAAAACCGGGAGAGUAGAGAGGCGUGCGCUCUUGAGGUUCGAAAGGAUCUCGGGUCAUUCUCUCUAUUCCCUCGACACCAAAAGCGAAUUGUUGAAUUCCUUAACAAUUUACUUUCCUGGAAACGCUCUUAAAACGGAACAAUUAAAGUAACCCAAUUAAAGGUCUAAUCAUUUUUUCAUUUUUUUUUCCAGGGGAAAAACUUGGAAAAAACAACAAAUAAUCAAAUACGAUAACUCUUAACGAUGGGAACCUUGGGUCCCAUCCGAGGAAAAAGCGCACCAAAUGCGAAAAAAUCCUGGGGAAUUGGCAGGGGUUCAGCGAAACCAAAAAUCUCAACGCACUGGGGCGCGGGAAUUCUCGCAGACACGCCUUGUGGAGGGCGCUUGUUAACAGAAAUCCCUACAACAAGAAUUUUGUGGGGAAUGGUGGGGAAGGUUGGAAAAUUAUGUCGGGGUCUUAGGGCCACCCCCGGGGGCCUAAGUCCGAAUCCUCUCUUAAAAUAAAAAACAGAAAAGAGGGGGGCUCCCUUUCCCCGUUGGGCCGGAAAGAAAAGAAAAUUAUCCUAAAAAGGUUUGUAUAAAUGUGAGAAAAAGAAUCUCUCUCCGGAGGGGCUUUAUCUUUAAAUUUUGGGUGGGGGAACGGGAGAAAAAGUUUUGGAAAGGGAAAAGGGGGUGGGGGCUGUUUUUUGGGGGUCUUUAGGUCCGCGGGUCCGGUGACCUUGUUAAAACACAAGAAGGAAAGAAGGGGAAGGGAAAAGAAGGGGGGGGAGGAAAAAAAAAAAAUCCACCCACUGCUUCCACCGACUAUCCACCAAGAUAACUCCAAAAAACCCAAAACAAAAAACCCAAAGAAAAACCCAAAAAAAGCCCCCAAAAAAAAAAAAAAAAAAAAAAAAAAAAAAAAAAAAAAA
Molecule: ribosomal RNA, 1003 nt
Filed under: Mychonastes homosphaera
Lineage: Eukaryota; Viridiplantae; Chlorophyta; Chlorophyceae; Sphaeropleales; Mychonastaceae
Description: partial 28S ribosomal RNA
Source: RNAcentral